Dendrobium catenatum is the source of this 96-nucleotide small nucleolar RNA. RefSeq annotates it as small nucleolar RNA Z266. NCBI's taxonomy places the organism in Eukaryota, Viridiplantae, Streptophyta, Magnoliopsida, Asparagales, Orchidaceae. The transcript has a single exon. The record is from RefSeq and is a predicted model, not a curated record.
UGUUGGCAAGCAUGAUGAAUCAAUUAGAUGUGUGAGGCAAUUGUCCCAUGAACUGAAUCUUUGAGGCAUAGAAUAUUGUUUCUGACUUGCUCAACC